This 253-nucleotide ribosomal RNA is filed under the name uncultured bacterium. Its description in RNAcentral is "partial 16S ribosomal RNA". It matches the Rfam family "Bacterial small subunit ribosomal RNA", at positions 524 to 776 of the family's 1533-position model. The record is from RNAcentral.
UACAGAGGUCCCAAGCGUUGUUCGGAUUCACUGGGCGUAAAGGGUGCGUAGGCGGCCGGGUAAGUCUGAUGUGAAAUCCCGCAGCUCAACUGCGGAACUGCAUCGGAUACUCUCCGGCUAGAGGAAUGGAGGGGAGACUGGAAUUCUCGGUGUAGCAGUGAAAUGCGUAGAUAUCGAGAGGAACACCAGUGGCGAAGGCGAGUCUCUGGACAUUCCCUAACGCUGAGGCACGAAAGCCAGGGGAGCAAACGGG